AAAGCGCUUUUACGUUAAUGAUAAAUGUACUGCUAUAUAAAACUGUCGUCUUAUAACGGUUUGAAUCAAUAUUCGGCGACCUCUUUUAAAAAUGUUUAGCUGUGAUAAAUGUGAUAAAACUUUUUCUGUAAAAAGAUAUUUAGUAAGGCACCGAGUAAAACACGAUAGGAUUAGAUUUCCGUGUCAUGUAUGCGGUUCAACAUUAUCAGAUAAAAACUCACUCGUACGUCACAUUCAAAAAGUGCAUCAUCUCACAAAAUACGGAAUUGAUUAUAAUAUAGCGAUCGGAAAUCAUCCGGAUUCGAGAACAUUACAGUCGUGUGGAAAUGAACGGCCGAGUACGAGCGGGACGAAAAGAAAUUAUAAUACGGUUAGUAGUGUACGGAUUAAACAGCGGGGAUUAGAUCAAAUUU
Molecule: long non-coding RNA, 413 nt
Organism: Daktulosphaira vitifoliae (grape phylloxera)
Lineage: Eukaryota; Metazoa; Arthropoda; Insecta; Hemiptera; Phylloxeridae
Exons: 3
Source: RefSeq, a predicted model, not a curated record